This is a long non-coding RNA of Tigriopus californicus, 2236 nucleotides long. RefSeq lists it as uncharacterized. The transcript has 2 exons. The record is from RefSeq and is a predicted model, not a curated record. NCBI's taxonomy places the organism in Eukaryota, Metazoa, Arthropoda, Copepoda, Harpacticoida, Harpacticidae.
AAUUGUUAUCAGACGCCUUCUCCUGUCAGUCUAUAAAUCAAGAAGAAAUUGCGGAAAACGCCAAAAGCUCGCCACGACGUUAUGGACUAGGGCGAUUAUUCCAAUGGGAAUGUUGUCCGUGCUCUAGGGGUAUGAUAUUCAGAAUGGAUGCGAGUGUGAGAAUCAGACUCCUUUUUUCACGUGGUAGGUCCUGACAAUGGCCAAGGAUGAUGAGCGUGCAAAUACUUCUGAAAGCCAUAAUUGGAGUUCCUGAGAAAGGACGAUUUUUUUUGAGAAAAAUAUACCUCUAAAAGACCUCAACAGGUGCAUGCAUGUUUUGGGUCUUAGUGAUGGUGAAUAGCCAGUCAAGCCCACAACGUCACAACGCAGCAGCCACCAUCACCUGUAUCAGGUUGAAAGAGAGCCCUUUUUUGAAGUUGCAAUGACGUUGCAAAUUCUCUAGAGACCAAAGAACGUCUUCGUCUCGUAUUACACUCCGCUACACACGCUCACCUUAGAGCGCUUCUACCCUACGAUCAUGGUCCUUGGUCAUGGCUUGCAUUAUGAAGACAAGUGUGUGGCUGGGGGAUCAUGGGCUUAGGGUUAAUAUUUCAGGAGUCGGAUUUGCUUUGCUCUGUCAUCAACCAAGGUUUUAAUUGAAAGGGUCAGAGUGAAGAGCGAAGGCGCUUUGAAGAGAGAGGCUUUGUGCAGAAACGCCGAGAUGAGACCGAGUGAAGAGCGAACCAAGAAGUCAGACUCAUCGGUAAAGCAUCAUAGGGGAAGCUGGAAUAAGAUUGGUGUGGUUGGAGUUGCUGUUUCUGGAGUUGGAGUUGUUGUUUUUUCUUCUUCUGGUGGUGGAACUAAAAGUUUGUUUGCAUGGCGUUAACUGCGCUGUAUUUACCUGCGGGUGAACCAUGACAUCCCUACGCCAACAUCAGCAACCCAUUGAUGACCGAAUACGUAACGCAUGACCGAAUGAAACGAGUGUUUCUUUCAAAGGAGUUGUUCAACACUCGUAUGAGAGCGAAGGAGGUUCAUGCUUGAGAAGUCGAUCCAUCCAUCGAUCUACGUUGUUGUACGUACUACGUCGUUCACUCGGGACAUCGGACGAGAUUGGAGAGCUUUUGGGGAGGAAGGUUCACAGCAACAUCUUAGGCCACAAAGAGGUGGGCUUUUUCAGCCAAGUCAUGUUUGCUAAUCAAAAACAUGUUCUCUCGCUAUGUGUGUGUGUGUGUGUGGAUGUAUAGCAUUGCCUUCGUGUUGGCUGGAUUCAAAGAGGUGCCAAGGUGAGGGCCACAACGACGACGGCGGGACGAAAAGUGUCUCCAGAGGUGAAUUUUUGUGAAGCAAUUGGAAGUGAAUCAAAUUCCGAAAAGCCCCUUUCAACGGCCGAUCUGGCGACUUAUGGUUCUUGAACAGAGAUUCACUCGCUCUCUCACUCUCUCUCCGUGUCCGUCUCCAUCUCCAUCCAUCCAUCCAUCCAUUCUCUAUUGGCCCGAGUGGCGAUAAAAGUUAACGGCAUUACAACCUGAAAACCAUAUCUCGAAGCUACCGUUUCAGUCUAUCCGCUUGAUCACCUCUGACUCCAAUGGAUACAUAGAUAGAUAGAUGGAUGGAUCAGAUACUCGCACCUGUGGACAACACCAUCACGCGUUUACCUUCAGACACAUCCAUGGUACCUCCAUGGAUGCGAUAACCUCAGCAUCUUUUCGCCUUUUUUCCCCCAUGUCACGACUCCAGGUCGAGCGAAUUGGAACGAAUCACCUGACAACGAAGUGCCACUUCUAAAGUGGCUGAGAAUAUUCAUUGACUUGAAGAAGCAUUGUUACGAUGUUCCAGGGUUGGAUGGGAACCCAGGAGGCUCUUGUUCAGAUACCGGGUCAUUCCAUUGGUUAUCCUUAAAAUGCAUUGGUGGAUGGAAAGGCUUCAUUGUGCUGUUAAUUGGAACGCAGGGUUUGUGAGUGGUCAUGAGAACAGAAGAAAACGUGAGGUUAUCGUAUAUUUGUGUAACUUGUUCAAAUUGUUCAAAAAUAAUCAGCGCCGUUCAAGAACCGAGUUGUUGGAACAACUGGCCUUGCCAGUAUUGCUCUUGAACACUUAAUUGCUCUGGAAAUGAGUUUCAUGCAGUGUCUUGUGAUUCUCUUUCGACAACUGCUUAUGUCACUAUCACAAUAAUCAUGACAGCCAAAUUCAUACGUUUUCCAAAUUUAUACGCCAUUUGGAGUCAUCAAUCCACGAAUAAACCACGCAAGUUGUU